AUGCAUAGGAUUGCACUAUUCCGUUUGUCCAUGCUUAAUCUACACUGUAGUUUGGCACCACCUGUAACUGUCAUGACUCAAUGCUAUGGAAUUACUGGAGUUGUAGUUUUACAAUUAUGGAAUGGAAUAUAUGUUAUGGAAUUCUGGGAGUUAUAGUUUCACAAGGAUUUUAGCCUUCUCUGCCAAAGAGAGAUGAAGCUUUACCAAAUUGCAACUCCCAGGAUUCCAUAGAAUUGGGCUUAUGACAAGUUAUAGUGGUGUCCAACAGCAUUCAUUCUAUCGUGUAGAUGCGCCCCUAGCAUUCACUGUAUUCAUUGCACAUGCCCUUUUAUUUUUAUGGAAAUCAGGUGAAUUUAUUUGUUUUGUUUUGUUUUUUUAAAAAAAAUAAGUUAAAUUGAAAAUAUGUAGAAAUUAAUUUACAUGAAAUGGGAAGGAAUGCUUUGAGUUGUAAUAAAAAGCUUUUGUGACACGUGGUGUUUUAUAUGUCAUGUACAAUAAUGUAAAACCAAUGUUAAUGUUUGGUAUAAUUUUUUAAAAAAUUCUUAAAGGGCACUUGAGUGAUUCUUACAAGUGAAGACAAAAUUUUUUUGUUUCUUAAUAAAUAUUUUAUGGUGUGAUCAUUUUCUCUCCGAGUCCUUUUUGACUACUCAUUUGUUUGUUUUUGUGUUGUGUGUUAUAAGUUCAAAAGACAAGUAUAAAUAAAUCCCAUUGAUUUUUGUCAGAAUUCUGUAAAGAUUUGCUUAAAAUAUCUAUUGAAAUAAAUGGGAACUUAAAAAUUUUCCCCAUUUUAAAAAAGAUGUAUACAUAUAUUAAUCAAGAGCUACAGAUUUGGUUAAAUAUAAGGUCCUUUCUACACUGUCAUAUAAAAUCCAGAUUAUCUAUUUUGAACUGGAUUAUAUGGCAGUAAACCAGUUCAAAGGAGCUGCAUUGGCGCAAUGGGAUGAAGCCUGCACCGGCUGAACUGCUGACCAGAAGGUUGGUUUGCUGAUCUGGAGGUUGCUGGCUCGAAUCCGUGAGACAGGGUGAGCUCCCGUCUGUCAGCUCUAGUUUGCAGGGACAUGAGAGAAGCCUUCCAGCUAACACAUCCUGGCAUCCCUCGAUUAUAUAGCAGUGUAGAAGGGGCCUAAAUUACUGUGUUUAUGAGAUGCAUAUAAUCUCACAGAGGUAGUAUGAUCAAUGUGAUUAUAUUAAUUAGAUACAGCAUUUUGGGAGAAGACUUGUUUGAUAUAAGGGAAGUUAGGGGUAGUCAACCAUAACUCUUCAGAUAUAUUUUGAUAGUAAUUUCCAUAAUUCAUGAUAUGCUGUUUGGGUUUAUAGCAGUAAUAAUCAGUAAUAAUCCGACACCUAGAAGACCACAGGUUCCCCAACAUUGUCCUUUAACAUAAGUGAUCGUAUAAAACAAUGUUUCUCAGCAUUUGGUACUUCGAGUGGAGUGGACUUCAAAUCCCAGAUGCCCACUGAGCAUAGCAGAUGUUUAGCAAAUCCAGACCAAAAAACCUCAAGGGCCAAAGAUUAAGAACCACUGGUACAGACAAAGAUGCUUUAAUUAGGGUAUUUUUUCACGAAAAUGAAGCUGUACUUUACUCUUUCUACGCCAGUGUGGGCAAUUUGUAUUGGUAAUGUUAGCGAGAGUUUAUGAGAUUUGCAAUGCCAACAGUUUUGGAAAGACCUUGUGUUGUUGACCCCUGUUUUACAGAAAUAUGAAUAGUCAAAGUUCAAUGGAGCCUCCAUUCUCAGGAUGGAUCUACACUGCCCUAUAUCCCUGGAUUGAUCCCAGAUUCUCUGCUCAGAGAAUCCUUUCUACACUGCCAUAUAAUCCAGACUCAGAUCCUUUCUACACUGC
Anolis carolinensis (green anole) is the source of this 1843-nucleotide long non-coding RNA. The record is from Ensembl. NCBI's taxonomy places the organism in Eukaryota, Metazoa, Chordata, Lepidosauria, Squamata, Anolidae.